CAGGGAGCUGUGCGGUGGCCUGAGGCUCCAGUGCUCUGUCCUCCUCAUCCUAGGGGGCCAACUGUAGCUCAGGAGCCUCGUUCUCAGGCCGGACGCUGUGUCACCCCUCGUUCUGGCCGCUGUAUGAAGCAGCUUCGGGCAGGGGUCUCAGGCCCGUGGCCCCUGCCACAGGGCACUGGAAUGGACAGCAGGCGCCCCCAGAUGCAGGUACCUCCCUUGGUCCCCCGGGGGCGCAAGGCUGCCCCAACUCCUCUGGGAACCAGUGCCCAGGGGUGGGAGCCCGCAGCCCGCCACCCUAGUGGUGUUUCCUCCUAGGGUUCCCGGUGGUGUGCUGUGAAGAUGUCUUCCUCUCGGACCCUCUGCUGCCCCGGGGGCAGCGUGUUCCCCUGUACCUGUCCAAGGCCCCCCAGCAGAUGAUGGGCUCCCUGAAACUGCUGCCGCCACCCCCCAUCAUGUCUGCCAGGGUGCUCCCCCGCCCAUCACCCUCCCGGGGCCCCUCCACUGCCUGGCUCAGCGGGCCGGAGCUGAUCGCUCUCACUGGCCUGCUGCAGAUGAGCCAGGGGGAGCCUAGGCCCAGCUCCUCCGCGGUUGGCCCCCCAGACCAUACCUCUGACCCACCCAGCCCCUGUGGUAGCCCCAGCAGUUCUCAGGGUGCUGACCUCUCUCUC
This 668-nucleotide small RNA is filed under the name Pan troglodytes (chimpanzee). RNAcentral describes it as "retained intron". The record is from RNAcentral. Lineage: Eukaryota; Metazoa; Chordata; Mammalia; Primates; Hominidae.